Long non-coding RNA from Hyla sarda, 419 nucleotides. RefSeq lists it as uncharacterized. Lineage: Eukaryota; Metazoa; Chordata; Amphibia; Anura; Hylidae. The record is from RefSeq and is a predicted model, not a curated record. The transcript is spliced from 3 exons.
CAUUACUGAGAAGCUGUAUACGACCGUUCAGUGCGAUGGGCUGAAACUGAGGAACUCCAGCACCUGCAGAGAAAACAGUCUGGUUAAACUUGCUCAGUGAGUAACACAGGCGAUCUACAGUGUCUCUGUAGCCAGUCAUCAAAAUGAUCCUACAGAAGUGAUGGGGGCCACUACCAUGGUGACCUAGGAAUUCCAUAUACCCAAUAUAGAGCAAGAAUGAUAACAAACCUUCCAGCACCACCAUGGCACUAUCCUGGGCUGACAUCCGGUCCUUGCGUACAAAGCACUGAGAGCGAUCCUAUCACUUCAGCGCUGCCGUAGGCGUUCCACACCUCACAAACAUACGUCCCGGAAUCGGCCGGCCGGGUGUUCUCGAUGAGCAAGCCAACCACCGUGUUCCGGAAUCUAUUGUCCAUUUC